Molecule: ribosomal RNA, 500 nt
Filed under: uncultured bacterium
Lineage: Bacteria
Description: partial 16S ribosomal RNA
Rfam family: Bacterial small subunit ribosomal RNA
Source: RNAcentral
AUUGAACGCUGGCGGCAUGCCUUACACAUGCAAGUCGAACGGCAGCACGGGAGCAAUCCUGGUGGCGAGUGGCGAACGGGUGAGUAAAGUAUCGGAACGUGCCCAGUCGUGGGGGAUAACGUAGCGAAAGUUACGCUAAUACCGCAUACGAUCUAUGGAUGAAAGCGGGGGAUCGCAAGACCUCGCGCGAUUGGAGCGGCCGAUAUCAGAUUAGGUAGUUGGUGGGGUAAAGGCGCACCAAGCCGACGAUCUGUAGCUGGUCUGAGAGGACGAGCAGCCACACUGGGACUGAGACACGGCGCAGACUCCGACGUGAGUCAGCAGUGGGGAAUGUUGGACAAUGGGCGAAAGGCUGAUCCAGCCAUGCCGCGUGCAGGAUGAAGGCCUUCGGGUUGUAAACUGCUUUUGUACGGAACGAAAAGGUUUGGCCUAAUAAGCUGAGCUCAUGACGGUACCGUAAGAAUAAGCACCGGCUAACUACGUGCCAGCCGCCGCCGUAA